AAAUGACUGAGAUAUGGGCAAAAAAGAGAAGUUGAAAUGCGAACCGCGAGAAAUCAGCCUGAAGGUAGCCAAUUCGUAUAAGCCAUUCAAUGAAUUAGAAGUUACUUUUUCGAAUAACUUUUUCCACAGACAUCUGAGCACAUCGACGUUGAACAACUUAUGGUAGCUAAUGAGCAGAUCUAUCCAAAUCUGUGUUACAAUUGAAGAUCCAUUGGAAACUGACCGAGUUAUAAGCAUCCAAAGUGGCAAAAUGAGAAAUUUUUGUUUGAAAAACCAAGAAAAAUUUAAGUCUUUGUAUCUCGAAUAACAUUUGACACAAACAACUUAGCACAUCGGCGUAGAAUAACUUUUGGUAGCUUAUGAAAAGAUCUAUCCAUAUCUGUGUUACAAUUGAAGAUCCAUUGGAAACUGACCGAGUUAUAAGCAUCCAAAGUGGCAAAAUGAGAAAUUUUUUUUGGAAAAACCGAGAAAAUUUUAAGUCUUUGUAUCUCGAAAAACAUUUGACACACACAACUUAGCGCAUCGGCGUAGAAUAACUUUUUGUAGCUUAUGAGAAGAUCUAUCCAUAUCUGUGUUACAAUUGAAGAUCCAUUGGAAACUUACCGAGUUAUAAGCAUCCAAAGUGGCAAAAUGAGAAAUUUUUUUUGGAAAAACCGAGAAAAUUUUAAGUCUUUGUAUCUCGAAUAACAUUUGACACAGACAACUUAGCACAUCGGCAUAGAAUAACUUUUGGUAGCUUAUGAGAAGAUCUAUCCAUAUCUGUGUUACAAUUGAAGAUCCAUUGGAAACUGACCGAGUUAUAAGCAUCCAAAGUGACAAAAUGAGUAUUCACGAAAGCGCCUCGCGCACUUGGUCGGGUUUUUGGUCCAACUUGCACCAUUUUUGGCCCGUAUUUGCCCCAUAGCUCCGCCGGUAUCCAAGAUAUCGCCACACUUUUUUCUGGCCAUAGCUAGAUGGCACUUGUGGCUAGAUUUCUUCCAUGCACCACGAAAGCGCCUCGCGCACUUGGUCGGGAUUUUGGUCCAACUUGCACCAUUUUUGGCCCGUAUUUGCCCCAUAGCUCCGCCGGUAUCCAAGAUAUCGCCACACUUUCUUCUGGUCAUGGCUAGAUGGCACUUGUGGCUAGAUUUCUUCCAUGCACCACUAAUCGCUACCAUGUCUGUGGCCGGAGCUAUUCGACGAACAACCAU
Molecule: long non-coding RNA, 1190 nt
Organism: Anopheles funestus (African malaria mosquito)
Lineage: Eukaryota; Metazoa; Arthropoda; Insecta; Diptera; Culicidae
Exons: 2
Source: RefSeq, a predicted model, not a curated record